RNAcentral lists this long non-coding RNA (5173 nucleotides) under Sus scrofa (pig). Its description in RNAcentral is "lncRNA (ENSSSCG00065071513.1)". The record is from RNAcentral. Lineage: Eukaryota; Metazoa; Chordata; Mammalia; Artiodactyla; Suidae.
GGCUAGGGGUCCAAUCGGAGCUGUAGCCACCGGCCUACGCCAGAGCCACAGCAAUGCGGGAUCCGAGCCGCGUCUGCAACCUACACCACAGCUCACGGCAACACCGGAUUGUUAACCCACUGAGCAUGGGCAUGGGCCGAACCCGCAACCUCAUGGUUCCUAGUUGGAUUCGUUAACCACUGCGCCACGAUGGGAACUCCAAGGAAAUUUCUAUUUGAGGGAUUAAUUUUUCCUCCUGCUUCCUUGCUGGUGUCAUUUUCCUUUAUAACUGCAUUGUUCUGUGUGUACAAGAGGUCUCUCAAAUGUAAUCUUUGAUACAUUAGUAAUGUAUUGAUAUAAAAUAAGAUGUACUUUAUUUUUUUAAGUUUUACUUACCGAUCAUAUAUCAAACAAAAUGACAAAAUAAUCUUUCGAAACCCCAAGGAAGAUUAUGGAAUUUUAUAAUAAUACGGAAAGGUUUGGAGAUUCAAGUUUAAAGAUGGAUGAUGCAAGGAAUAGCAGAAUUACUAAAAUGGAAAAUUAGAGCAGUCUAAAUUGUCAAGGUUUAUUAGACUAAUUGAUUGUGGGCUUUCAUUUUAAUAGCAAACGUCACUCUCAUGUUAGUCUUUCUCUGUUCCUAUGGUAUCAUGGUUUAGAUGCCUGUGAACCAGUAACAUCUAAUUUGCUGUUAGAAGCCGUUUGCACAUACCCUGUGUGGAACCAGCACCUCCUGACACGCCCUCUCCGUGUUGGUUUUCCUCCCUCCCACUCACUGACAUUUGUUGGUGCUGCCGCAGGGGGCUGAGUGGGCCGGCCUGGGGCUGGCUCUCACCUCCUGGCUCUCCUGCUGCAUAGGACACCUGUCUGGGAUGCCCAGUGCCAGCUCCCAGGACUCAGCACCUCAUCACUCAGGAGCAUGUGCCUCCAGGCACUGGAGGCCUUGCAAGCUGCCAGUUCUUUCCAGUUGGUACUUUUUAGUGGUACGUGUUCAUAUCUCAGACUUACGCUGUUAGAAGUGCCAUUUAAAUUUUGUUAAAAACCCACCUCCAUGUGACCUCACCUGAACUUGUGAUGAGUGGGGGCAGGGAAGAAGCUAGGCUGAGUAGACCUGGAAGCUCUGAUAUGGAACUUGCUCCUCUUCCUUCUCCCUCCAGAGUGCUCUGAGUCCUGGCUCUGAGAGAUUCCAAUCAUUGCACAUUCUUGUCCUUUUUUUUUAUUAUUUUUUAAUUUUUUUAUUACUCAAAUGAAUUUAUCACAUCUUUGAGAAGGCCUCAGCACAGCCCUUGGGCUUAGGUGACAACGGAAGAAAAGAUCCAUUCUGUAUCUGCUAUGAGUUGAAUUGUCUCCUCCCCAAAUGCAUGUAUUGAAGCCCUACCCUCUCCUCGCCCUGCCCCAGGACCUCAGACUGUAAGUGUAUUUGAGAUAAGGCCUUCAAAGAUGUAAUUAAAUUAAAAUGGGCUAGUUAGAGCAGGUCCUCAACUAAUAUGACUGGUGUCCUUAUAAGAAGAGGACAUUUGCAUACAGAGGAAGAGAGAAAGAGGAGACAUAUAUGCACACAGUGGGCUGAGCUGUGAGGGAGCAGCAAGAGGGUGGCUGUCGGCAAGCCGAGGAGAGAUGCCUCAGAAGCUGUACCUGCCAAAACCUUGACCUUGAACUUCCAGCCUCUAGAACCUUGAGAAAAUACAUUUCUGCUGUUUUGAGAACCUUCUGUUGUUUAAGCCACCCCCAUCUUUAGUAUUUUUGUUGCAACAGCCUUCACAAACUAACAGAAUUUUUAUUCAACAAAUCCUGACUCUUCCCCUGCUGCUCUUGGGGACAGAGGAAGAAGGCAUUCAUUCUGGCUUGGGUAUGUAGUCCUGAUCACUUGAUUCUGUGUGUCUUUGAUUUUAUGACACUGGUGCUAUCAAGGAAUGAUUGCCACUCAUCUUUCUGAGUUCUAAACUAUUUGGAUAUCAAACUUGGAUGGAAAGCUAGGGAGGGACAUCAGGGAGGCUGUAAUUAGGAGAAUUUCACAGGUGUGCAAGAAUAUCAUUGUGUAGGAUGAGAGCUGAGAUAUACUGAUAAGGGCCAGUUGCUACAAGUGAUGGCAGUGAAAAGCUGGAAGUUCUGGUUUGCCAAAAAAUCUGACACCCUAAUAAAGAUCUUAACUUUAGAGAUUAAAAUUUGAAGUCCCUUGGUUGGGCAAAGCUUCAUAAAUGGAAACCUUUCUUUUCAUUUUUAUAUGUUUCCACCCACCUCUUCAAUGCCAUCAUUAUCCUUGGUAUCUCUAGCAGCAGAAUUCUUUAACUCAAAAUACUCAAAUCCUGAUGGAUUUGGUUCUGACCUAAGUCUCAGGUUGUGGACUCUACCUCGUUCAUUCACCAUUUCUAUGUCUAAGUUUUCUUCACCUAAGAAGAGAGAGAAUUACUGCUCCCUACUUGACAGAGAUGUGAUUUUGAUGGUGUAGGUAUCAAUUUUGAGAAAGAGAGUGGAGUUCAGAAAGGCCGUUUUCCCCACUGAACUUGGAUGUGAGAAAGUGAUGUAGCCUAUUUUAGCUUCAGUUCCCUCAUCUGUAAAAUGGACAUGGUAAUAAUUGCAAGAGUACUGUGAGGAUUCAGCAAGAACAUAUGGAAAGCACCUUGCAUCAAUCCUUGAAUAUUUAAGAGCUUAAUAUAUGUUAGCCAUUCAUCAUGAUUGUGGUGAUGACAUCACUAACAAGAGGCAAUUUCACUGCUCUUGAUGUCCUUCUGACAUAUUGUUAUGACCCAUGAAAGGAACAUCUGCUUUAAGACUCAGGUUGGUUAAAACCAUCUAAGACGAGGGGUCUAGGAUUUAGGAAACUGUAUGGAGGUAUAAGUGCAGAAUGAGGUCUUUUUCCUUUAACCUAUAUGCUAAAAUCUCAGGGUAUGGCAAAAAGCAGCCUUUCACCAACUUUUAUAUGCAUAUAAAUUCCCUGGAGAUCUUGUUAAAAGGCAGAUUCCGAUCUGGUAGAUUCUUUCUUUCUUUCUUUCUUUCUUUCUUUCUUUCUUUCUUUCUUUCUUUCUUUCUUUCUUUCUUUCUUUUGUCUUUUUAGGGCGGCACCCACAGCAUGUGGAAGUUCCCAGGCUAGGGGUUGAAUCAGAGCUACAGCUGCCAGCCUAUGCCACAGCCACAGCAACACAGGAUCUGAGCCACGUCUGUGACCUACACCACGGCUCACGGCAGCACUGGAUCCUUAACCCACUGAGCGAGGCGGGGGAUGGAAUACGAGUUGGGCUUAUUACCCCUGAGCCAUGAUGGGAACUCUGGAUUCUGCACUUCUAACAAGUUCCUGGAUGAUGGUGCGGCGUCUGCUCCAGCUUGGCCCUGGAGUGGGUGGUGGAGCUGACUGUGAUCCCAAUUCACUUGUCAAUUUCAUUUUUUUAAAUCCAAUAAUAACCAAUUAUUAUUUUCUAUUGCUUUGCAUUCAACUUCAGAACAAUUUUGUUUUCAUUUUUCAUCUUAAAUUGACAGGGCUCUUACUGCUUUCCCAUCCCUGGUCUCUCUGUCUGGUGCUUAAAUAAUGCCUUUUUAAGAAAACAAAAUAAGACCAACAAUGACUAAUAUUUAUAUAAAGGUUUCUAUGUGCCAGGAACUGUUUACUGAAAUUCUUGCGACACCUGGUAAGGUAGGCGUGUUAAUUAUCCACAUCUUACAGGUGAGAAAGCUGCGGCAGGUAAAGCUAAAAUAACUUCCUUAGAUGCUCACAUAGUGCAUGGGAACUAGGAUUAUUUUAGGAGUCUAUUUAAAGGAGCCUUUUGUAAAUCAGAGACCCUGGGGAGAGCUGGAACAGUCCAGUCUAAGGUAUAAGUUUUUGUUACUCAUCAUUUGGUUUCAUCAUUUUUUACGAAAUGGGGACCCCACCCUCCUAGAGGCAGCAAUGGUGGUAUUUAUGCAGAAUGCAACCCCAGACUAACUGUGGAGGCUGGUUAAGUCUGGUAUCAUGAUGAGUACCUAGCAUGACCCUGGGGCAAGACCUCAGACAGGGAGCUCAGCUGUGGUUUGCAAAGGAACAAAGAUCCCAGCAAGCAGGACAGAUCCUGCUUCCAUUCUGAUUUGAGUGUAAAUUCAACUUUUGUCAAGCAAAGAUUUUUAAAUUGAUUUAUGGUCAACUUCGGAAGGUUUUUAUUUUUUGUUGUAAAUUGGCAGGGCCCUUGCUACUUUUCUGCCCCCAGUCUCUCAAUCUAGCACUUUAAAAUGUUGAGGGUAUUUCUCACUGUGGCGCGGUGGGAUUGGCGGCGUCACUGCAGCGCUAGAAUGCGGGUUUGAUCCCUGGUCUAGUACAGUAGUUUAAAGGAGCUGAUGUUGUUGCAGCUGCCAUGUAGGUCACAACUGUGGCUCGGAUCUGAUCCCUGGCCCAGGAACUCCAUAUGCUGUGGGGUGGCCAGAAAAAAGAAAAGAAAAGAAAUGAAACAAACAAAAAUGUUAAGAGUAGGAAUAAGACCACUGGAGCACCUGCAAGCCUGCCUUGUGGGUUGUGGGCUGUUCUGAAAGAGCUGUUGUAGAUGGACCUGAACAUGUUCUGCAUGAGGCCAGGGGACGUGGUCUUCAGGAGCUGUGGCUGCCACAUCUUGUGGAAGUGCUCAUACGUUGCUCAGAGCCCAUGGUCAGUUGUAAAGCUGUCUUACUCUGGGACCUAGGACUAGCCACUAACCAUCCCUAGUCUUCAUUUUCGUCUUUUCUAAAAUGAAAGGAUUUGGGACACAACCCAAAUGUCCAUUGACAGGUGAUUGGAUUAGCAAGAUAUGGUAUACAUACACAAUGGAAUACUACUCAGCCAUAAAAAAGAACGUCAUAAUGCCAUUUGCAGCAACAUGGGUGGAACUAGAGUCUCUCACACUUAGUGAAGUUAAGUCAGAAAGAGAAAGACAAAUGCCAUAUGAUAUCACUUAUAUCUGUAAUCUAAUAUAGAGCACAAAUGAACCUUUCCACAGAAAAGAAAAUCAUGGACUUGGAGAAUAGACUUGUGGUUGCCAAGAGGGAGGGGGAGGGAGUGUGGUGGAUGGGGAGCUUGGGGUUAAUAGAUGCAAACUAUGGACUUUGGACUGGAUGAGCAAUGAGAUCUUGCUGUGUAGCACUGGGAACUAUGUCUGGUCACUUAUGGAGCAUGACAAUGUGAGAAAAUAGAAUGUAUACAUGUAUAUGCAACUGGGUCACCAUGCUGUACAGUAGAAAAAAAAAUAUAUUGGGGAAAUAA